This 254-nucleotide ribosomal RNA is filed under the name uncultured bacterium. RNAcentral's name for it is "partial 16S ribosomal RNA". It matches the Rfam family "Bacterial small subunit ribosomal RNA", at positions 524 to 776 of the family's 1533-position model. The record is from RNAcentral.
UACAGAGGAGCCAAGCGUUGUCCGGAUUGACUGGGCGUAAAGCGCACGCAGGCGGGUGCGCGCGUGGGGUGUGAAAUCUGGCCGCUUAACGGCCAGGCGCCAUCCCAUACGGCGCGCCUGGAGCUAUGCAGAGGUCGGUGGAAUUGCCGGUGUAGUGGUGAAAUGCGUAGAGAUCGGCAGGAACACCCAGGGGGAAACCAGCCGACUGGGCAUAGUGCUGACGCUGAUGUGCGAGAGCGUGGGGAGCGAACCGG